This 135-nucleotide ribosomal RNA is filed under the name Propithecus coquereli (Coquerel's sifaka). Lineage: Eukaryota; Metazoa; Chordata; Mammalia; Primates; Indriidae. The record is from RNAcentral.
GUCUGUGGCCAUACCACCCUGUAUGCACCUGAUCUCGUCUGAUUUUGGAAGCUAAGCAGGAUCGGGCCUUGUUAGUACUUAGUACUUGGAUGGGAGAUAGUCUAUAAUUUUCACCACUUGAGGUGGAGACUGAGA